GCACUACUAGCUUAAUGGUAAAGUCCUCCAAUGUCACUGAAGGGGAUGUCAGUUCGAGUCUGAUGUAGUGCG
RNAcentral lists this transfer RNA (72 nucleotides) under Chlamydia trachomatis. RNAcentral's name for it is "tRNA-Asp(gtc)". It matches the Rfam family "tRNA". From Rfam's summary of the family: Transfer RNA (tRNA) molecules are approximately 80 nucleotides in length. Their secondary structure includes four short double-helical elements and three loops (D, anti-codon, and T loops). RNAcentral also lists the same sequence under 3 other names. Lineage: Bacteria; Pseudomonadati; Chlamydiota; Chlamydiia; Chlamydiales; Chlamydiaceae. The record is from RNAcentral.